AGAGUUUGAUCCUGGCUCAGAACGAACGCUGGCGGCAUGCCUAACACAUGCAAGUCGAACGCUUCCCCGGAUUUCGGUCUGGGGAGGAGUGGCGCACGGGUGAGUAGCGCGUGGGAACCUGCCCUGUUGUGGGGGAUAACCGAGGGAAACUUCGGCUAAUACCGCAUGCGCCCCGGGGAGUGAUCUUCGGGGGAAAGAUU
Molecule: ribosomal RNA, 200 nt
Filed under: uncultured bacterium
Lineage: Bacteria
Description: partial 16S ribosomal RNA
Rfam family: Bacterial small subunit ribosomal RNA
Source: RNAcentral